RNAcentral lists this ribosomal RNA (191 nucleotides) under uncultured bacterium. RNAcentral's name for it is "partial 16S ribosomal RNA". It matches the Rfam family "Bacterial small subunit ribosomal RNA", at positions 521 to 711 of the family's 1533-position model. The record is from RNAcentral.
UAAUACGAAGGGGGCUAGCGUUGUUCGGAAUUACUGGGCGUAAAGCGCGCGCAGGCGGUCUUCCAAGUCAGUGGUGAAAGCCCGGAGCUCAACUCCGGAACUGCCAUUGAAACUGUGAGACUUGAGUACGAGAGAGGUGAGUGGAAUUCCCAGUGUAGAGGUGAAAUUCGUAGAUAUUGGGAAGAACACCG